This 406-nucleotide ribosomal RNA is filed under the name uncultured bacterium. Its description in RNAcentral is "partial 16S ribosomal RNA". It matches the Rfam family "Bacterial small subunit ribosomal RNA", at positions 29 to 526 of the family's 1533-position model. The record is from RNAcentral.
AUUGAACGCUGGCGGCAGGCCUAACACAUGCAAGUCGAGCGAGAGGCGGGCGGGUGAGUGAUGUCUGGGGAAAUGCCUGCUGGCGGGGGGUAACACCUGGGAACAGUAGCUACAACCGCGUACCCUCAGAUAUGCCCAGAUGGGAUUAGCUAGUGGGGGGGGUAACGGAUCACCUAGGCGACGAUCCCUAGCUGGUCUGAGAGGAUGACCAGCCACACUGGAACUGAGACACGGUCCAGACUCCUACGGGAGGCAGCAGUGGGGAAUCUUGCACAAUGGGCGCAAGCCUGAUGCAGCCAUGCCGCGUGUGUGAAGAAGGCCUUCGGGUUGUAAAGCACUUUCGGCGGGGAGGCGUUACCCGCAGAAGAAGCACCGGCUAACUCCGUGCCAGCAGCCGCGGUAAUAC